This 253-nucleotide ribosomal RNA is filed under the name uncultured bacterium. RNAcentral describes it as "partial 16S ribosomal RNA". It matches the Rfam family "Bacterial small subunit ribosomal RNA", at positions 524 to 776 of the family's 1533-position model. The record is from RNAcentral.
UACGUAGGUGACAAGCGUUGUCCGGAUUUACUGGGCGUAAAGAGCGUGUAGGCGGUCCGGUAAGUCCGCUGUGAAAGUCGGGGGCUCAACCCUCGAAUGCCGGUAGAUACUGUCGGGCUAGAGUACGGAAGAGGCGAGUGGAAUUCCUGGUGUAGCGGUGAAAUGCGCAGAUAUCAGGAGGAACACCUAUUGCGAAGGCAGCUCGCUGGGACGUAACUGACGCUGAGACGCGAAAGCGUGGGGAGCAAACAGG